This 464-nucleotide ribosomal RNA is filed under the name uncultured bacterium. RNAcentral describes it as "partial 16S ribosomal RNA". It matches the Rfam family "Bacterial small subunit ribosomal RNA", at positions 28 to 507 of the family's 1533-position model. The record is from RNAcentral.
GACGAACGCUGGCGGCGUGCUUAACACAUGCAAGUCGAACGGAAAGGCCCAGCUUGCUGGGUGCUCGAGUGGCGAACAGGUGAGUAACACGUGGGUGAUCUGCCUCUAACUUCGGGAUAAGCUUGGGAAACUGGGUCUAAUACCGGAUAGGACAAUCGUUUAGUGUCGGUUGUGGAAAGUUUUUUCGGUUAGGGAUGAGCCCGCGGCCUAUCAGCUUGUUGGUGGGGUAAUGGCCUACCAAGGCGUCGACGGGUAGCCGGCCUGAGAGGGUGGACGGCCACAUUGGGACUGAGAUACGGCCCAGACUCCUACGGGAGGCAGCAGUGGGGAAUAUUGCACAAUGGGCGCAAGCCUGAUGCAGCGACGCCGCGUGGGGGAUGACGGCCUUCGGGUUGUAAACCUCUUUCGACAGGGACGAAGCUUUGGUGACGGUACCUGUAUAAGAAGCACCGGCUAACUACGUG